Long non-coding RNA from Mustela lutreola (European mink), 1095 nucleotides. RefSeq lists it as uncharacterized. The transcript is spliced from 5 exons. The record is from RefSeq and is a predicted model, not a curated record. NCBI's taxonomy places the organism in Eukaryota, Metazoa, Chordata, Mammalia, Carnivora, Mustelidae.
GCGCGGCCGGCGUGGGGCGGGGCCGGGGCCGGGUGCGUCGGGAGCUAGGAAGAGGCGGCCGCAGACUUUCCGCUCGGCCCCACGGUCGCAGGCGCGCGCCGGCCGGCUGGCCGCUCGGGUCGGUGGGCGGCUGCUCGGUGUCCGCUCCCCUGCGCCCGGCGGCUGUUCGGGGCACUUCCAGGCACGAAGUAAGUCCGCCAUGUGGAAGGCUGGUGUACAAAGGAAGCGGAUUCAGAUUCUGAGCCAGCAGAGCCGUACACAGACUUGCUCAAACCGUGAACCUGGUUGAUGGCCCCUCCACGUGCAUUGUACAUCUGCUUUGUGAAGAAGUCGCCUAAAGGAAAACCGACUUGUCCUUGAGAUGCCCAUCAAUGCCCCCUGCGUUCCUUGAAGCUAACCCUAACCCUAAAACUCAUGAAUCCUGCCAGUAUGUUAACCUGUGUGUUUGCAUCAGCAUUUCCUGUUGUAGUCAGCAGGAUUCAGAGCAACUCUGUGGGAAGAGCCGCGUGUUGUCUGGCAACUGGCUCUCGGUGCCCGCCCAGGACCGCUGUGCCGGUCCAGCUUCUCAGCACCUCAGGGGCGUGUCGCAUUUACUUACUCAUUUGAGAGAAUGAAAGAGAGAAUGAGAGCAGGGGGUGAGGGAGACAGUCUCAAGCAGACUCCCAUCUGAGCGCGGAGCCGAAUGGGCAGAUCCUUCCCUGAGAUUGUGACCUGAGCUGGAGCCAAGAGUCAGAUGCCCAACAGACUGAGUCCCCCAGAUGCCACCCUGGGCAGACCUGGAAAACAUGGAUUUCUCUGCAGGGUCGGGGCCUGCCCACUGACUGGGGAGCUGGCCAAAUGCGGCACCUGGGAGCCCAUGGUGUGGCCAGUCUGCAGGGUGAGUGACUGUCGCCAGUUGAGAGCUGCCAUGUCAGAAAGUUUCAGAGGACGGUUUCCUGCUACCUGGAGGUUAUACGCACAGAGGUGGACUCUUAAUGUGGUGGAAGUUUUUCAGUUUUGGCUGCUACAUCUGCCUAAAUUAUGUUCCUGUAUUAGAAAAAUGCACAUAUUUCAUGCAGUGAAAUGCUGUAAAUACAUGCAUUGCUUUUCUGCACA